RNAcentral lists this ribosomal RNA (253 nucleotides) under uncultured bacterium. RNAcentral's name for it is "partial 16S ribosomal RNA". It matches the Rfam family "Bacterial small subunit ribosomal RNA", at positions 524 to 776 of the family's 1533-position model. The record is from RNAcentral.
UACAGAGACUGCAAGCGUUAUUCGGAUUCACUGGGCGUAAAGGGUGCGCAGGCGGCCAAGUGUGUCAGGUGUGAAAUCCCGAGGCUUAACCUCGGAACUGCGCCUGAAACUACUUGGCUAGAGUACUGGAGAGGGUAACGGAAUUCACGGUGUAGCAGUGAAAUGCGUAGAUAUCGUGAGGAACACCAGAGGCGAAAGCGGCUCACUGGACCACAACUGACGCUGAGGCGCGAAAGCUAGGGGAGCAAACAGG